This is a long non-coding RNA of Syzygium oleosum, 515 nucleotides long. RefSeq lists it as uncharacterized. The record is from RefSeq and is a predicted model, not a curated record. The transcript has 2 exons. Lineage: Eukaryota; Viridiplantae; Streptophyta; Magnoliopsida; Myrtales; Myrtaceae.
UAUUAACUUCACUCAUUUUCAAGUCGAUGACUCAAGUUCAUUUCUUCCCUAUUUAUCCCGAUUCCCUAAACUAUCUUCUUUUGUUUUGUAUUUCGAGAAGACGAUAGAAAGGUUUAAGAGUUCACCGGCUUGUUUAUUCGGGUGCACGUCAAAACGUUCGGAGGGUUUUCAUCGUAUAUUGAGAGUAGGACGUCGUCAAUCAUUGCAUGCGGACGCGAUGGAAAUCAACUCUAAGGGACCGUUUUGUGCUGCUCAUCACUUCAUCUCUAGGGAUGGUUUUAUUGCCGUAGCCGGAGUUCGCAGUAGGGACGACGCUGGUGUCCUCCGUAGCUCCUUUCCAAUUCUGCACUCAUAAAUUUAGUAGGACAGAAGGAAUUGUCUCCAGGACAAGGCCGUCUCUGAAGCUAAAAAUAUCCCUCCCUAAGAGUUAUCAGCGACGGCAUAGAUUUCGUCACUAUUAUGUGGGGCGAGGUCGUCCCGUGAUUUUCUAAUGAUCUCCAUCGCCAAAGAUUUUA